This is a non-coding RNA of Pelobates cultripes (western spadefoot toad), 533 nucleotides long. NCBI's taxonomy places the organism in Eukaryota, Metazoa, Chordata, Amphibia, Anura, Pelobatidae. The record is from the annotation of a GenBank genome assembly.
CGAUACCCACACACAUACGCUAUCCCUGGGGGAGGGAGCUCUUGAACCCGCCAAACAACCGGGUCUAGGUUAAGGGUGUUGCUGUGAACAAUCUCCCCGAGUUAAAGAACUCUGGGGGUAAGCUAAAGCAACUUACCCUGUCAUCCCGACCUUCGUGUGAGGUUAGAGGAGCACGCCAACUCCCUACCACGAGAUAGGAUGUGUAAGUAGAUCCGAUCACAGCAGCUGCCGAAAAUCAAUCCCGGACCAUAGAUGAAACCGGGCUGGAAAUACAGAGAAGACGGAAAGCAGAUCAUCUACGCGUUUCGUCCCCUUUGGAGGACUUUCUCAAGACCAAGAUCUGCUAUCCACAACCUGGGUAUAUAUACCCUACAUGUAAAAAAGUGGUCAUAAUGCUUAAAUUGAAGAUAAUUUGACAUGGGGCAAGUAGCCUACUGAGUGCAUUUAGAAUGCAAAUACAAAAUGCAAUACAUGCUAAAUAACAACCCCUAAAUAAUACUAAAUGUUACUCCAUCAUAAAAGAUAAGUCUUAU